AGUAACGCGUGGGUAACCUGCCUUAUACAGGGGAGUAACAGUCAGAAAUGGCUGCUAAUACCGCAUAAGCGCACAGAGCUGCAUGGCUCAGUGUGAAAACUACCGGUGGUAUAAGAUGGACCCGCGUUGGAUUAGCUUGUUGGUGGGGUAACGGCCCACCAAGGCGACGAUCCAUAGCCGGCCUGAGAGGGUGAACGGCCACAUUGGGACUGAGACACGGCCCAG
This 225-nucleotide ribosomal RNA is filed under the name uncultured bacterium. RNAcentral's name for it is "partial 16S ribosomal RNA". It matches the Rfam family "Bacterial small subunit ribosomal RNA", at positions 109 to 334 of the family's 1533-position model. The record is from RNAcentral.